RNAcentral lists this ribosomal RNA (981 nucleotides) under Apiospora saccharicola. RNAcentral describes it as "eukaryotic LSU rRNA". It matches the Rfam family "Eukaryotic large subunit ribosomal RNA", at positions 52 to 1423 of the family's 3401-position model. The record is from RNAcentral. Lineage: Eukaryota; Fungi; Ascomycota; Sordariomycetes; Amphisphaeriales; Apiosporaceae.
GGAGGAAAAGAAACCAACAGGGAUUCCCCUAGUAACGGCGAGUGAAGCGGGAACAGCUCAAAUUUGAAAUCUGGCCCUUGGGUCCGAGUUGUAAUUUGCAGAGGAUGCUUUUGGUGCGGUGCCUUCCGAGUUCCCUGGAACGGGACGCCUUAGAGGGUGAGAGCCCCGUACGGUUGGACACCAAGCCUAUGUAAAGCUCCUUCGACGAGUCGAGUAGUUUGGGAAUGCUGCUCAAAAUGGGAGGUAUAUUUCUUCUAAAGCUAAAUAUUGGCCAGAGACCGAUAGCGCACAAGUAGAGUGAUCGAAAGAUGAAAAGCACUUUGAAAAGAGGGUUAAAUAGCACGUGAAAUUGUUGAAAGGGAAGGAUUUAUGACCAGACUUUUUCUAGGGGGAUCAUCCGGUGUUCUCACCGGUGCACUUCCCCUAGUUGAGGCCAGCAUCGGUUUCUGUCGAGGGAUAAAAGCUUUAGGAAUGUGGCUCCCUCCGGGGAGUGUUAUAGCCUGUUGCAUAAUACCUUGACGGGGACCGAGGUUCGCGCAUUGCAAGGAUGCUGGCGUAAUGGUUAUUAAUCACCCGUCUUGAAACACGGACCAAGGAGUCGAACAUUUGUGCGAGUGUUUGGGUGUUAAACCCUCACGCGUAAUGAAAGUGAACGGAGGUGAGAGCCUUUAGGGGUGCAUCAUCGACCGAUCCUGAUGUCUUCGGAUGGAUUUGAGUAAGAGCAUAACUGUUCGGACCCGAAAGAUGGUGAACUAUGCGUGGAUAGGGUGAAGCCAGAGGAAACUCUGGUGGAGGCUCGCAGCGGUUCUGACGUGCAAAUCGAUCGUCAAAUCUGCGCAUGGGGGCGAAAGACUAAUCGAACCAUUGACCAGCGGUCAAAACAAUCACUAGGUGGUUAAGAGGGGGUCCGCGAGGACCAUUUGAAAAACCUAGGCUGAGCCCGGUUACCCUGUAGCUACCCUGUAGCUUACCUGGUACCGG